This 465-nucleotide ribosomal RNA is filed under the name uncultured bacterium. RNAcentral's name for it is "partial 16S ribosomal RNA". It matches the Rfam family "Bacterial small subunit ribosomal RNA", at positions 338 to 795 of the family's 1533-position model. The record is from RNAcentral.
CCUACGGGAGGCUGCAGUAGGGAAUCUUCCACAAUGGGCGAAAGCCUGAUGGAGCAACGCCGCGUGGGUGAAGAAGGUCUUCGGAUCGUAAAACCCUGUUGUCAGAGAAGAACGUGCGUGAGAGUAACUGUUCACGUUUCGACGGUAUCUACCCAGAAAGCCACGGCUAACUACGUGCCAGCAGCCGCGGUAAUACGGAGGUGGCAAGCGUUAUCCGGAAUUAUUGGGCGUAAAGGGCACGCAGGCGGUCUUUUAAGUCUGAUGUGAAAGCCCUGGGCUUAACGGGGGUAGUGCAUUGGAAACUGGGAGACUUGAGUGCAGAAGAGGAGAGUGGAAGUCCAGGUGUAGCGGUGAAAUGCGUAGAUAUAUGGAAGAACACCAGUGGCGAAAGCGACUCUCUGGUAUGUAACUGACGCUGAGGUGCGAAAGCGUGGGUAGCAAACAGGAUUAGAUACCCCGGUAGUC